Physcomitrium patens is the source of this 1661-nucleotide non-coding RNA. Lineage: Eukaryota; Viridiplantae; Streptophyta; Bryopsida; Funariales; Funariaceae. The record is from RefSeq and is a predicted model, not a curated record.
GCAAGCACAAGCAUACGGGGUAUAGGGCUUUGAGCCUCAACAGAUCGAUCACACCACAGACCUCCAGUCUCGUCAUUUUCCUGAGACGAACCAAUUUCUAGCUUGUCACCGAUAUUAUCGCAGUUGGGUGCCCCUCGAAGUUGCGUUGUGAUUCGGGAAGGAGUAAUUCAAGAGAUAUAAGUAGCGAGGUUCAUUUUGUUGUUUUUCUGGUUUUGUUUUGGAAGACGAUACAAAUGGGUGUUGCAAUGGAACUAGGAGAGGAGGUGGUGCUGCUGUAUGACGGAGGCAAGGUUGGGGUCACUCGCUUUUCGGAGGCGCUUGUACCGGAAGCAUCUCCUCCGCUGCAGCGUGUCGUAUGCAAUCUUCCCUGGAAAGAUCCCAACGGAGAAGUGUUAACUAAGAGUGAGGUUGUUAACUUCAAAGAUAACGCUGGCUUGACUAAGGUAUCCUUGAUCGUCUUUCGUCAAGAAGUCACUUCAUCCGCUUGUGGACGUGUUGUGCACGAUCUUUUCGAGUAUCUGCUAUCAAAUGCCCCGAUCCAAUCACCCGGCUUCAGCCUCGUAGUUCCAGCUAUUUCACGAAUGCCAGGGUCAGUUCUGAACAUGGACACAGGUAACAAUGCAAACAUUUACGCAGCUUUUUUUAACAGAACUUCAGAAGGCUCUGGCAACCUGGACGGUCUGCCGAAGCUACCCUCAACAUUUGCUGUGCGAGAUGGGUUCCUGGCAUACGUGUUUCACUAUGUGCAUGCUACGCAAUUGCCAACCUUAGUGUUGGUAAGUCCAAGUACUGAAGGGGUAACUGCUCAAAAGAAUGAAUCCAACGAGGUGCUACUCGCUCUUGGUGAUGUUGUUGGAAGACAAAUCGGACUCACGUGUUCGAAGCAAGAACUGAACCAUGUCACUAGUUUAAUACCCUUGGCGAGUAGUAUGGAAGACGACUGGCGCAGGUUGUAUAUUUAAAUCAUGCAGAUAUAGGUGGAGAGACGUUUGUAUUUUGCUUCUUGGAAAUAUAAUCAGAAAGUGGUUCAGGCAAACAUUUGAAGCAUGCAAUUGUUGAAGAAUGUCUACCUGACGGCGAGCAUCAUCAAAUGAAAAGCAGGCUGGAAAGGAAAGAGGUCAUGCAUCUUCUCGCACACCUACUUAAGCCUCUUCCCAAUUGCUUCAUAUCAGCAACCUGUUUGUUUUCCUAUCGAUAUAAAAUUUUCAAUGAUCAGACUGAUCCGAAGCAGAACGUUGUCCUUUUCUUCGGCCAUAGACAGUAUCACCACGCCGUCACUACCGGGGCCAAGUUGGUCUGUAUCGAUGAAAGCAGGGUUGACGAGAGGAGAGAAAGUACUUGAACCUCUUAUUGUGCUUAUAGCUGAUGGUCAAAAUGGGUUCUAAACCUUGGAUUCCUCAAUGUUUCUCGUCGAGUGAACAUGCCUUGAUCUUCAGAUUGAUUGGCAAAAGUGGAGAGAUUAUUCAGGAGAAGGACAAUCUGGACCGUAUCUUUGCGAAGCUAGAGGAUCCUACUCAUGGAUUUGUUCAACAUUCUUGCUCUGAACCUCGCAUCAUGCACUUAUGGUGCUUCAGAGUCAUACCAGUCUUUGACACGCUUGUCAGAACCUGUUCACUGACAACUCCAUGUACUUCUAAAAAUACCGAUAUCAUUCUUCCAAA